CCUAAAUGAUAUGCCAGAUAUUCGGAAGAAAGCUUGUUCCAAAUUGUUUAAACAACAGGAGCUUCAUAGGAGCAAACUUUUGUCAUCCUACAAGGAUAUGGUACGAAGAUAAAGCACACACUUCUUUUCUGUUUGUAAUUCCUAAUGAAUGCAUACACACUUGGGAAGUUGAAUAGUUGAAUGUGGUUGAGCAAACAAUUUAUGGGUAAGAAACUGUGUUGAAAUUUUAUUGCAUCAUCGAGAUUACGAAUGGAAUCCCAUUACUUUCUCCUUAUUUUAUGUAAAUUCCCAGAAUUUUGGUUUGGAAUUACAUUAAAUUAAGGAUAGCGUAAGUUAGGUGUAUAAGUUCUAAUAAUAACACUUUAUGCAAAAGGAAUAUGCACCUUGUCUGUAACUCUAUUAAUGCAAAUAUCCUUAAAUACGUAGGCAUUGAUCAACCAUAUGAAGUUAUAGGCAAGGGCUUUUCUCAAGUAACUUGCUUGGGCUUUUUUUAUUGUGUUCAUUGUAAUAACUUCUUUGCAGGUGACUGUUGUAACUCACAUGGUCAACACUAGUAGAUCCAUGAGAUGCUAUGUCAAAGGGACAGCCAAUAGUCCUAUUCUGCAAUUUUCUAGUAGUUCUGAGGAUAAUAAUGACACUGGUGAUGGUGCUGGGAUUCCAGUCUUUGCAUUUUGGCCAAUUUCUUCAUUUGGUAUGUACGUAUCUGCAAAUGUUGUAUAAUGUAUAUACCAUUUUAAAGUUUUGAGACAUCAAAAUUCCAGUUCAGGGCAUCACAUUACCAUUAUCGCAUCCCUAUCUUAUUUAUCAAGUUGGUUUUUGUUUGAUCAUCUUCUAGCAGAAGUUUGAAUUAUAAGGUUUAAAUGGCCAAAUCUUUUUAUUGUCUUGUUGAUGAAAUUUACCAUUGAUGAUUCUGAUAUUUGAAUGAUUUCAGAGCAGUUAGCAGAGGAGCUUGUUCAAAUGUUUAUAUCUGAGCUCAAUUUGAAGAGACUACUUGUAGUGGAGUUGCUUACAAUUAGCUGUGAGGUUCCACAAGUCAAUGAGUUAUAUUGGUCAAAUGAGCUUUAUCCAGGAGAAUUUGAUGAUCUGAGCAUUUGCAACUUGUAUUCGAAGGAAACCUGUAAACCAGUGCCUCCAAGAUUGGUGGAAGGGAAGUAUGAUAUGCGUAACAUGCAAUUCAAGAGUCAACCAAAUGAGGAUAUUUUGCAGGUUUACCUAACAACAUGGCUGGCAGAGGUGAAUAUAGAUAUCCAUAGGGUGGAUGAAAUAUUUGCAAUUAUAGGGGAGGAAAUGCAUGUCAACUUAUCGUGAGCUCUUUCCCUAAUCAUGCACCAUAGUGAGAUGAGGCUAUCAAUGCUAAUCCUUCACCUUAUGACCAUCUGGGCCAACAUCUCGAUAGUCUUUUGUCAAGGCAAGCUUAAAUUAGGUAAGGUGCUGGAUCCCAAGAGCGGAAGGAAACUAUUUAACCAAGUAGGUACCAUCUUCCUUACUACUAGUAGCAACCUGCUUGUAUGUUAAUCACAAACAAGGCAUCAAGGGGUACUGUUGAGAUUGCGUAACAAUAAGCAUGUUUGUUCAGGACUCUUAAAUGAGAGGAGAUUGAGAUGUGACAGAAAUGGAAAUUUAAUUCUAAGAAGCUGUGUAUUCUCUUUAAAAAUAAGUCCCAAAAAUAUAGGGGAAAAUACAUGAAAUGGAAAUAACAAUGUUUACCAUUUUACAUGAUCCUUCUUUUCCUCCUCUAUUUCCUAUUUCUUGUAAGAUUUAACCAAACAAGAACCGAGUAUCUUUCAUUAUAGUGUCUUUUUUUCCUGUUAACAUUCUCUCCGCAUCUCAUUUCCUAGAUGAGUACUAAUGUUAAUAGCAAUGUUGUCAGUUCAUUAUGGGAGUGAAUUGUACAUUGGAUGAUGACUGAUAAGAUGAGCCCUUUCCAUGUGAACUCUUCCAACAGGUUUAUCUCAUUCUUUCUAACCGCCCAUUGAACAUAAGGUCAUAAAAUGACCAGUGAAUGAAUUGUCG
Molecule: unclassified non-coding RNA, 2013 nt
Filed under: Hevea brasiliensis (rubber tree)
Lineage: Eukaryota; Viridiplantae; Streptophyta; Magnoliopsida; Malpighiales; Euphorbiaceae
Source: RNAcentral